GAGGCAUUCCAAAGGAUCAGGACUUGCUUCAGUGGGGCUUUGGUGCUCACUGAGUCCUGUCCCAUUAGUGUGUCUCU
This 77-nucleotide microRNA precursor is filed under the name Myotis brandtii (Brandt's bat). Its description in RNAcentral is "mir-9229 microRNA precursor family". It matches the Rfam family "mir-9229 microRNA precursor family". Lineage: Eukaryota; Metazoa; Chordata; Mammalia; Chiroptera; Vespertilionidae. The record is from Rfam by way of RNAcentral.